Molecule: ribosomal RNA, 253 nt
Filed under: uncultured bacterium
Lineage: Bacteria
Description: partial 16S ribosomal RNA
Rfam family: Bacterial small subunit ribosomal RNA
Source: RNAcentral
UACGUAGGUGGCGAACGUUGUCCGGAUUUACUGGGCGUAAAGCGCGCGCAGGCGGCCUGGUAAGUCAGAGGUGAAAUCUCCCGGCUCAACUGGGAGGGGCCCUUUGAUACUGUCAGUCUUGAGAUGCCUAGAGGAGAGUGGAAUUCCCGGUGUAGUGGUGGAAUGCGUAGAUAUCGGGAGGAACACCAGUGGCGAAAGCGACUCGCUGGGGGGGAUCUGACGCUGAGGCGCGAAAGCGUGGGGAGCAAACCGG